RNAcentral lists this ribosomal RNA (253 nucleotides) under uncultured prokaryote. Its description in RNAcentral is "partial 16S ribosomal RNA". It matches the Rfam family "Bacterial small subunit ribosomal RNA", at positions 524 to 776 of the family's 1533-position model. The record is from RNAcentral.
UACAGAGGUCUCAAGCGUUGUUCGGAUUCAUUGGGCGUAAAGGGUGCGUAGGUGGCGGGGUUAGUCAGGUGUGAAAUCUCGAGGCUCAACCUUGAAACUGCACUUGAUACUGCCUUGCUUGAGUACUGGAGAGGAGAUUGGAAUUUACGGUGUAGCAGUGAAAUGCGUAGAUAUCGGAAGGAACACCAGUGGCGAAAGCGGCUUCCUGGUCCAGCACCGACGUUCAGGCACGAAAGCGUGGGGAGCAAACAGG